CCUACGGGAGGCAGCAGUGGGGAAUAUUGCGCAAUGGGCGAAAGCCUGACGCAGCGACGCCGCGUGAGGGAUGAAGGUCUUCGGAUCGUAAACCUCUGUCAGCAGGGAAGAACGGGCACUGUGCUAAUCAGCAGUGAAUUGACGGUACCUGCAAAGCAAGCACCGGCUAACUCCGUGCCAGCAGCCGCGGUAAUACGGAGGGUGCGAGCGUUAAUUGGAAUUACUGGGCGUUAAGGGCUCGAAGGCGGAUUACCAAGCAAUGGGUGAAAUCCCGCCGCUAAACGUGGGAACUGCAUUUGAAACUGUCAAACUGGAGUGUGUGAGAGGAUAGUGGAAUUCCAGGUGUAGGAGUAAAAUCCGUAGAUAUCUGGAGGAACACCAGUGGCGAAGGCGACUAUCUGGCACAUAACUGAUGCUGAGGAGCGAAAGCGUGGGUAGCGAACAGGAUUAGAUACCCCAGUAGUC
Molecule: ribosomal RNA, 465 nt
Filed under: uncultured bacterium
Lineage: Bacteria
Description: partial 16S ribosomal RNA
Rfam family: Bacterial small subunit ribosomal RNA
Source: RNAcentral